This is a non-coding RNA of Vicugna pacos (alpaca), 1854 nucleotides long. The record is from RefSeq and is a predicted model, not a curated record. Lineage: Eukaryota; Metazoa; Chordata; Mammalia; Artiodactyla; Camelidae.
UAUCCAAAGCACAUGCUUCCUGUUUUUCUGCACCCUAGAUUCCCCUCAGGGCGCACCCUCAGGGGUAGAGGGUAGCAGGGUGGGGCACGGGUGGUAGCUACAGUGACUGAUGGCUUGGGUGGGCAAUAUUCCUUGUUUACUGGAAUGGCAGGCUAUAUUCUUUGUCCACAGCACUUCCUCUUGGUCAUAAAUUCAACCAAGGUCUGGGAGGCAUUUCACGACCAAUUUGUCCCACGGAGCUAGGAAUUCUCACUCCUAGGUCAAGCCGGAGAGCUUGCAUUUCUAGCCAUUUCCCAUGUGAGGAUGACGGUGUUGGUCCUGGGACCACACUUGGAGAACCACGGGCAGAGUGCCUUGGAAUAAGAGGUUUGGAUUAGGGUUGCCAGAUAAAACAAGAUGCUCCGUUAAAUCUGAAUUUCAUAUAAACAGCCAAUGCUUUUGUAAUGUACUGUUAUGUCCCAGGCAGGAGGCGUUCUGUAUUUUCAUAGGCUGCAUCUGUGACCCUAUUGGGUUUAACUCCCAGCAUUACAGCUCUGGAGUCUCGUUAUUUAAGGCAAGUCAUUUAAGCACUUUGUGCUUCAGUAUCUCCAUCUACAAAACGGGGGUGGCAAGAAUGCCACGUGUCUCCUAGGAUGCUCUAGAUGACGAAAUGACUGUGUAAGGACCUGCCGCCGAGCCGUGCCUGCAGCAAGCACUCAGUAAAUGUCGGCUUUUACUAUUCACCGUUAACCUCAGAUAAAGAAAUUGAACAGAGUGAUUCAGGGUUACCUGAGGUUGCACAGUUAACAGAAUUAAGAUUCAAAUCCAGGAAUUCUGUUUCCAGAUGCCUUGAAUCAGCCCAAAGAUAUAUACCCAAGAGUGGAAUUGCUGGGUCAGAUGUAUGUACACCUUGCUCUUUAACUUAUCUACAGACUUGAACAAUAGAAAAAGUCUAUCCGCAAAAGAGGACACUGAGCCCUGAGGCUGGAGGGCCAACCUGACCUCUUCAAUUUUCAAUUUCACUGUGUUUCCAGAAAUGACAAUGCGUUUAUUGCAAUCAAUUGAGCAAUAACAUCUUCCUCUGAUCCUUGGUGUCGCUUUGGUAGGAGGAACAGAGCCUAAAGCUGGACUCAUGCUUUUUCCACUCACUUUUCUGGAGUGCUGUCAGUUUAGGGAAACACUCUCAGGGUUUAGGCUUACCUUCUAUAUCAAGAAUAGCAGACUUUUUUCUAUAAAGGGCCAGAUAGUGAAUAGAUUUGUCUUUGUGGGUCAUAGAGUCCCUGCUGCCAUUAUUACACGAAAGUAGCCAGAGACACUACACAAAUGAAUGGUCAUGGCUGUGUUCCAGAGAAAUUUUAUUUAGAGGCCCUGAAAUUAAAUUUCAUAUAAUUUUCCUGUGUCUUAAAACAUUAUUAAAAAUUUUCAAUCUUGUAUCAAGUUGAAAUAUACCCACUUGUAUCAUUCAUUCAAUAAACAUUUCUACAAAAUAAAACAUUUUAACUGCAUAUGAUGAAAGUUUUGGAAUAUACAUGGAGGUAGAGAAAACAGUAGAGUGAGUCCCUGUGUCUGUCAUACAGCUUUGCCAUUAUCAACAUGUGGCCAAUCUUGUAUUACCUUCCUGCCUCCGCUCACCCCACCGGCCAUGCAUGGUUCUUCCAAGGAAAUCCCAGAAAUCGUAUCACUCCAUCAGCUAAUCCUUCAGUACACACCUCUGAGAGAUAAAGAUGCGAUGAUAAUAACUAAAAAAGUUAACCCUUAUUUCUUAAUAUCAUUUAUAUCCAGUGUUCAAAUUUCCUCAACUCAUUUUCUUUUAUAGUUGAUUUGCUUAAAUGCAGAUCAAAAUAAGAUCUAUGUGAUGCAUUUAGUUAGUAAGUC